GGCGAACGGGUGAGUAAGACAUAGGUAACCUGGCUUUAAGAGGGGGAUAACCACUGGAAACGGUGGAUAAUACCGCAUGGAUAUGAAUGAGGCAUCUUAUUGAUAUAAAAGGAGCUAAGGCUUCGCUUAAAGAUGGGCCUAUGACGCAUUAGCUAGUUGGAGAGGUAAAAGCUGACCAAGGCGACGAUGCGUAGCCGGACUGAGAGGUUGAACGGCCACACUGGGACUGAGACACGGCCCAG
This 242-nucleotide ribosomal RNA is filed under the name uncultured bacterium. RNAcentral describes it as "partial 16S ribosomal RNA". It matches the Rfam family "Bacterial small subunit ribosomal RNA", at positions 97 to 334 of the family's 1533-position model. The record is from RNAcentral.